This 440-nucleotide ribosomal RNA is filed under the name uncultured bacterium. RNAcentral describes it as "partial 16S ribosomal RNA". It matches the Rfam family "Bacterial small subunit ribosomal RNA", at positions 338 to 795 of the family's 1533-position model. The record is from RNAcentral.
CCUACGGGAGGCUGCAGUAGGGAAUUUUGCGCAAUGGGCGAAAGCCUGACGCAGCAACACCGCGUGAAUGUUAAGGCCUUCGGGGUGUAAAGUUCUGUCAAUAGGGACGAAUUUUGACUGUACCUAUAAAGGAAGCACCGGCUAACUCCGUGCCAGCAGCCGCGGUAAUACGGGGGGUGCAAGCGUUGUCCGGAAUCAUUGGGCGUAAAGCGUUCGUAGGCGGCAAGGUAAGUCUGAUGUUAAAGCCCGGAGCUCAACUCCGGUGCGGCGUGGGAUACUAGCUAGCUAGAAGGUGGGAGAGGUGAAGGGAAUUACUGGUGUAGCGGUGAAAUGCGUAGAUAUCAGGAGGAACAUCGGUGGCGAAAGCGCUUUACUGGAACAUUAUUGACGCUGAGGAACGAAAGCCAGGGGAGCAAAUGGGAUUAGAGACACUGGUAGUC